RNAcentral lists this transfer RNA (61 nucleotides) under Ictidomys tridecemlineatus (thirteen-lined ground squirrel). RNAcentral's name for it is "Spermophilus tridecemlineatus (thirteen-lined ground squirrel) tRNA". It matches the Rfam family "tRNA", at positions 6 to 65 of the family's 71-position model. Rfam says of the family: Transfer RNA (tRNA) molecules are approximately 80 nucleotides in length. Their secondary structure includes four short double-helical elements and three loops (D, anti-codon, and T loops). Lineage: Eukaryota; Metazoa; Chordata; Mammalia; Rodentia; Sciuridae. The record is from Rfam by way of RNAcentral.
UGUGGCUCAGUGGUUGAGCGCCUGCCUAGCAUGUAUGAGACACUGAGUUCGACUCUCAGCA